CUGCUCUAACCAAUAUCAUCUCUCACUCAUUUACUAAUUUUCUCAAUGUUACAGAAUGUCAAACACGUGGAGGUAGUGGUGGAAGUGGAGGAAAUGGUGGCAGCUGUGGACAGCAGACCCAGGACUGCCCACAACCCCCCAGUAAGUACUUUUAUGAAUUCAGGACUAUUGAAAGUUAGAUGCUAUAGAAAGUUAGUUCCUACUUUGUCUCUGUAUAUCUGUUGACUGGGUUGGAAUUGCAAUGAAAUUCCAACGCAGUCAGUAUGAGUAUUUAAUAAAACUUUUGUCAUUAUGAAAUACUCAUUUUGGAUGGGGGUGACAGAGCCGCUUUAAAUGACAAUUAAGCAUUUUACUUAAUUUUUUUUACUUUUAGAUCCUUGCCAAGAAAAAGGCAGUCGAGGAAGCAAAUGAGAUUGGAACCUGAAUGUGCACGCUUAGUGCUCUAGAGCUUUUGCAACUGUAUCCCUCAUUCUUCUAAUAUGAUAUUAAUC
Non-coding RNA from Pelobates cultripes (western spadefoot toad), 491 nucleotides. The record is from the annotation of a GenBank genome assembly. NCBI's taxonomy places the organism in Eukaryota, Metazoa, Chordata, Amphibia, Anura, Pelobatidae.